AUUGAACGCUGGCGGCAGGCCUAACACAUGCAAGUCGAGCGGAUGAAGGGAGCUUGCUCCUGGAUUCAGCGGCGGACGGGUGAGUAAUGCCUAGGAAUCUGCCUGGUAGUGGGGGAUAACGUCCGGAAACGGGCGCUAAUACCGCAUACGUCCUGAGGGAGAAAGUGGGGGAUCUUCGGACCUCACGCUAUCAGAUGAGCCUAGGUCGGAUUAGCUAGUUGGUGGGGUAAAGGCCUACCAAGGCGACGAUCCGUAACUGGUCUGAGAGGAUGAUCAGUCACACUGGAACUGAGACACGGUCCAGACUCCUACGGGAGGCAGCAGUGGGGAAUAUUGGACAAAGGGCGAAAGCCUGAUCCAGCCAUGCCGCGUGUGUGAAGAAGGUCUUCGGAUUGUAAAGCACUUUAAGUUGGGAGGAAGGGCAGUAAGUUAAUAUCUUGCUGUUUUGACGUUACCAACAGAAUAAGCACCGGCUAACUUCGUG
RNAcentral lists this ribosomal RNA (484 nucleotides) under uncultured bacterium. RNAcentral's name for it is "partial 16S ribosomal RNA". It matches the Rfam family "Bacterial small subunit ribosomal RNA", at positions 30 to 507 of the family's 1533-position model. The record is from RNAcentral.